Non-coding RNA from Podarcis lilfordi (Lilford's wall lizard), 69 nucleotides. NCBI's taxonomy places the organism in Eukaryota, Metazoa, Chordata, Lepidosauria, Squamata, Lacertidae. The record is from the annotation of a GenBank genome assembly.
UUUGUGUGUGUGUGUGUGUGUGUGUGUGUGUGUGUCUCCACACACACACACACACCCCUACGCCAGAAG